This 259-nucleotide unclassified non-coding RNA is filed under the name Mycoenterolobium sp. Its description in RNAcentral is "partial contains 5.8S ribosomal RNA, internal transcribed spacer 2, and large subunit ribosomal RNA". The stretch from base 1 to 52 matches the Rfam family "5.8S ribosomal RNA", at positions 103 to 154 of the family's 154-position model. RNAcentral also lists the same sequence under 1 other name. Lineage: Eukaryota; Fungi; Ascomycota. The record is from RNAcentral.
AACGCACAUUGCGCCCGCCAGUAUUCUGGCGGGCAUGCCUGUUCGAGCGUCAUUUCAACCCUCAAGCCCCCGGGCUUGGUGUUGGGGACCGGCCCCCCGCCCUCCGGCGGGGGCCGCCCCCGAAAAUCAGUGGCGGUCUCGCUGUAGCUUCCCCUGCGUAGUAGCACACCUCGCUCUGGAACGCGGCGCGGCCAUGCCGUGAAACCCCCCACUUCUGAAGGUUGACCUCGGAUCAGGUAGGAAUACCCGCUGAACUUAA